GACGAACGCUGGCGGCGUGCCUAAUACAUGCAAGUCGAACGCAGUGGGGACGGGUGAGUAACACGUGGGUAACCUCCCAUCAGAGGGGAUAACCCUUGGAAACAGGUGCUAAACCGAUACUGAUGGAUGGACCCGCGGUGCAUUAGCUAGUUGGUGAGGUAACGGCUCACCAAGGCCACGAUGCAUAGCAGACCUGGGAGGGGGAUCAGCCACACGGGGACUGAGACACGGCCCAGAAUCCUACGUGAGGAGGCAGUGAGGAAUCUUCGGCAAUAGACGAAAGUCAGAUCGAGGAACGCCGCGUGAGUGAAGAAGGUUUUCGGAUCGUAAAACACUGUUAUUAGAGAAGCGGUAUCUAACCAGAAAGCCAUGGCUAACUACGUGCCAGCAGCCGCGGUAAUAC
This 403-nucleotide ribosomal RNA is filed under the name uncultured bacterium. RNAcentral's name for it is "partial 16S ribosomal RNA". It matches the Rfam family "Bacterial small subunit ribosomal RNA", at positions 28 to 526 of the family's 1533-position model. The record is from RNAcentral.